CCUACAGGUGGCAGCAGUGGGGGAUAUUGCACAAUGGGGGGAACCCUGAUGCAGCGACGCCGCGUGGGUGAAGAAGCGCCUCGGCGCGUAAAGCCCUGUCAGCAGGGAAGAAAAUGACGGUACCUGAAGAAGAAGCCCCGGCUAACUACGUGCCAGCAGCCGCGGUAAUACGUAGGGGGCACGCGUUAUCCGGAUUUACUGGGUGUAACGGGGGCGCAGUCGGCGAUGCAAGCCAGGAGUGAAAGCCCGGGGCCCAACCCCGGGACUGCUCUUGAAACUGCGUGGCUGGAGUGCAGGAGGGGCAGGCGGAAUUCCUGGUGUAGCGGUGAAAUGCGUAGAUAUCAGGAGGAACACCGGUGGCGAAGGCGGCCUGCUGGACUGCAACUGACGUUGAGGCCCGAAAGCGUGGGGAGCAAACAGGAUUAGAUACCCGAGUAGUC
This 440-nucleotide ribosomal RNA is filed under the name uncultured bacterium. RNAcentral describes it as "partial 16S ribosomal RNA". It matches the Rfam family "Bacterial small subunit ribosomal RNA", at positions 338 to 795 of the family's 1533-position model. The record is from RNAcentral.